GCUCAGAUUGAACGCUGGCGGCAGGCGUAACACAUGCAAGUCGAACGGUAACAGGAAGCAGCUUGCUGCUUCGCUGACGAGUGGCGGACGGGUGAGUAAUGUCUGGGAAACUGCCUGAUGGAGGGGGAUAACUACUGGAAACGGUGGCUAAUACCGCAUAACGUCGCAAGACCAAAGAGGGGGACCUUCGGGCCUCUUGCCAUCAGAUGUGCCCAGAUGGGAUUAGCUAGUUGGUGAGGUAACGGCUCACCAAGGCGACGAUCCCUAGCUGGUCUGAGAGGAUGACCAGCCACACUGGAACUGAGACACGGUCCAGACUCCUACGGGAGGCAGCAGUGGGGAAUAUUGCACAAUGGGCGCAAGCCUGAUGCAGCCAUGCCGCGUGUAUGAAGAAGGCCUUCGGGUUGUAAAGUACUUUCAGCGGGGAGGAAGGUGUUGUGGUUAAUAACCGCAGCAAUUGACGUUACCCGCAGAAGAAGCACCGGCUAACUCCGUGCCAGCAGCCGCGGUAAUACGGAGGGUGCAAGCGUUAAUCGGAAUUACUGGGCGUAAAGCGCACGCAGGCGGUCUGUCAAGUCGGAUGUGAAAUCCCCGGGCUCAACCUGGGAACUGCAUUCGAAACUGGCAGGCUUGAGUCUUGUAGAGGGGGGUAGAAUUCCAGGUGUAGCGGUGAAAUGCGUAGAGAUCUGGAGGAAUACCGGUGGCGAAGGCGGCCCCCUGGACAAAGACUGACGCUCAG
This 739-nucleotide ribosomal RNA is filed under the name Salmonella enterica subsp. enterica serovar Typhimurium. RNAcentral's name for it is "bacterial SSU rRNA". It matches the Rfam family "Bacterial small subunit ribosomal RNA", at positions 22 to 750 of the family's 1533-position model. Lineage: Bacteria; Pseudomonadati; Pseudomonadota; Gammaproteobacteria; Enterobacterales; Enterobacteriaceae. The record is from RNAcentral.